AUCUAUUCUUGUAGAUUUUUUUUGUGUGGGUCUAUGUUUCAUUCAUCUGCUUUCAGGCUGGAUUUAUAACAAGCAGAACUUUUAAAACGGUAUGAUUUUAAAAUAAAAUUAAAAAAAAAACACGCUGAGAUCUUUCCAUAGCUUUGGCUUCUGGGAGUUGAAAGCGCAGCUUCAGGAAAAAGAGGACCUUAGAACUGAAGGAGCAAGAUUCCAACAUCACACUGUUUUUGUUAGCUGUGUGUGUGUGUUUCCUGUGUAUCCAAAAGACAGAGGAGAUGAAAAAGCAAAAGAAAAGAAACGAGGAAUCAGAUUGGAAAGAGUAUGAGUUUGUACUUAUGAAAUAAAACUUUUAUCUCUCUACACAGGACCGGGAGUCUGUCCCAAUUUCCUGUCUCUAACCUCACUGGAAGUGCUGACCCACUUCUGGCUAUUUUUAUGUGUUUCUUUGAAAAUGCUUACUGUGAUUGGAGUUGACUUGCCGACUCUGUUCUGCAGCCUCCCCACCACCUGAGUCCCAAAGGGCGGCCCUUCCCACCUCACGCCCAGUAAUUAUGGGUGAGCGCAGAGCCAAAGGAUGGCAGGGCUUUGUUGGUGGUGCGACCAGCGGGUGACCCCUUUCCUCGCAAUCAGAGACUCAGGGACAAGCAGCUUGCACCUGCACGUGGAGCUUUGCACACGGCCUUUUGCCUGAUUUUCCUCUUCGAGGCAUGCCCCCUCCAUGAAAGAUGGGCAUCUUCCCAUGUUCCGGAAUUCUUGGGGGUGCGCUGAUUCCAGGCUCUCGCCCCAGCUUUGGGCCCAGGGCAGUGAGCAUGUGUAGUUACUUAUCUAGGAUUGCAACCUGAGUCAACAGUGAAACCAGGAAGUGAACUCGGGGUCCGGCAUUGUAUGGAAAGUUGGGUGUAUUUACUUUUCUCUUAAAGCAAACUUUGAUUGACUCUUUAAUAAGUUACCAUGGAGGAUAUAGUUCUGGUGAGAUUUGACUUGGCAUCCAAAUCUAAGGCACAUAUUGAUAAUGGAGGAGAGGAACAGGGAGUCUUUUAUGUUUUUCCAGUUUUAUCAUUAACCCCAAGUUCAGAAAUCUGUUUGCUUUUAAAAGUGUCAGUUUCCUCGUUUAGGAAGGUGACAGUUCUCUACUGAUGAUGAGGUUUUUUUUGUUUUUUUUUUGAGAUGGAGUCUCGUUCUGUCACCCAGGCUGGAGUGUAAUGGCACGAUCUUGGCUCACUGCAACCUCUGCCUCCCGGGUUCAAGCGAUUCUCCUGCCUCAGCCUCCCGAGUAGCUGGGAUUACAGGCAUCCACCACCAUGCCUGGCUAAUUUUUUGUAUUUUUAGUAGAGAUGGGGUUUUGCCAUGUUGGCCAGGCUGGCCUUGAACUCCUGACCUCAGGUGAUCCGCCUGCUUCGGCCUCCCAAAGUGUCGGGAUUACAGAUGUGAGCCACCGCGUCCAGCCUGUUGAGGUAUUUUGAUGUCCUUUGUGGAAAGGCCUUAUCACCUGGCUGGCACACAGCACUGUGGGAACCUCUGGUGGGGCUGUGUGAGGAAUUAGGGUGACCUUGACUUCAGCCAGGCCAUGUGGGUCUUGACUCUGUCACUUACGGUGUCACCUGGGGAAUCCCUUCCCUUCUUUGGCCUCAGUGUCCUCCUCUGGGAAGUGAGGGUAAAAAGUCUCUCCCUUGUAAGGUUGUUAGAGGGCUCGGCAAGGAGAUGGAUGUGGAGGGGCCUGGGGUGUGGAACAUAGCAUACACUUGGUGGGGCAAGCUAUCAGGGUUAUUUAUUACUUAAAUCAUUUUAAUUGUGGGUCAUAAAAUUUCUGUUUUUCCAGAGGUUUCUCCAGGACGUCACCUGUAUGAGGUACACAGUGUGAUGACACACUCUGUGCUUUUCCUACUUGUGUCCACGUGAGUGUCUGGAGCUGCCCUUCAAGGAGAGCAAUAGAUGAAUGAUUCUGCCUUCCCGCUGAGAGGGAUGUGGGUCCUGCGGAUGGUCGGGGUGAAGCUUCCUCUCCUUUCUGCUGACAGCACUUCCUCAUUAAAUGCAGAGAUCUGCAAAAAGGGAAAAUAAAAACACAAGAAGAAAAAUGAGGCAUCAAAGACCCUCCUCUUAUGCCCAUGGGGAUUUGGAGGACGGGUUAUUUCUUUGCUUUCCCAAAGGGCCCAAGAAGAGCUUCCGGGGAGAGGGAGAGCACCCUUUUUGAGGAUUCCCGACAAGCCUGUCUCCCGAGGGCUCCUGUAGGAGAGGCGGUAACUAGGGCGCAGAUCAUUUUCUGUGUUAAGGGCAUCCAAGGAGAGAAGAGAGUGACCGCCUAUGACUUGGGAGGCCCGUAAAGAUGGGGUCCUGGAUGAGCAGUAGCAAGGAGGGUACGGGGAUGGGUGUGCCUUGGGGGCUGGCAGUGAGGACGGCAUCGUCCCUAGAGAGUUUAAAGACAAGAAUCAAUCCAGCUCCAAGUGAGACUGCUUUUAAACCAUUUUAAUUGCCACACACCAGUAAGUUCAAGCAAUAUCAGUGAUAAAAUCUCCUUCCGUUGGGCAGCCAGUCCUUCUGCACCCUCCUGGUGUGUCCUGAGUAAGUGGGGUAGGGAGGAGCUAGUGUGGCCCGAAGACAAAGGAACCCGAGAUAUUUCUUUCCUCUUCCAAGCAAGAGAGGCUGGAGACAGCACAUGAGUGUUCAGGGAUCCUUGGGGGUCAAAAGAGUCACCUGAGAGAAAGGAAGAGAGGGGAACUGCCGCAGCUCAGUGAGGGGAACACCGCAGGCUCUGCCUCUCUUCCCCGGCUGUCUGGGAGGAGGGUCUGGAGUGGAGUCCAUGAGGGGCUGGGCGGGGCUGGGGCCCUACUUUGGAGGGAAUAUGGUAAGCAGACUGUACAGCCAAGCAGACAGUCCUGGAGGUUGAGGGCGUGACAAAGAACUGUAGCAUAUUCUGUGUGUAAAGACACCUUUGCCUUCUGUCCUGACCCGCAGACAGGUGCUUCUCCUGCCCUGCCGUGCUUCUGCCAUUUCUGGUGGAAAUAGCUCAAAAGACCCCUGCUUAUCCACAGAGCAGGGGCAUUUACCCAUUACAACCCCCUGGUGAAGUGACACGGUUAUGCCCAUUUCACAGACGAGGAAAUUGAGGCCCAGAAAGGGGCAGGAAACUUCCACAGCUGGGAAGCGGUGGAUCUGGGACUUGUUUGCCCCAGAGGCUGCCACCCUGGCACCUCACUGCCCUCAAAGGCUGACGGUGCCCCCAGCAGCUGUAACCAUUUCUUUCGAGUGCUUUUCAUUGUGUGGAAGAUCAUUUUGGGGGGUGCACAGAGCUCCCAGCUUAUUGUGAUUCAGCAAGACCCUGGCGUGUCACUUACGGGAGGUGGCCUUGCUGGGCAUAGUGCCGGCCAGCCAGAGACCCUCAGUGAACAGGGGGCGUUUCCAGAGGGCCUGGUGUUUUCUGCAUGGCAAGACUCCUACAGAGAGGCUGACCUGGUUUUCAGAGAGCAGUUUGCGUUUCGGGUGGCCCUGGGGGCACAUGUUCCCAUUGGAUUCCUGCACUGGAAGUAAGCUUGUGGGGCCGGGCUGCCAGCAGUGCCUGCCUUGUACCAGGGCUUUUUUGGUAUGGAAAACUUUAGAGAGGCGUCACCACCACCUCUUUUUUGCUCAGCAUUUGCUCAUCUCUCCCCACCUGCUUUUCAGGGCUCAAGCCUGGAAGAAGCCUUAGGACGUGGGGGAAAUGUCUAACGUGGAGUCCACCUGCUGAGCAGGACCGGGUGUGAAGGAAGAAGCUUUGUUCUGAUUCCUCAUGGCCCAGCCACCCCUCGCCUGAGCUGAGCCUGGCCACAGGGCCCGCCUGCAGGAAGGGCUGGCCCAUGGCUUCACACUGGGCUCAGGCUGCGCUAAGAGCCCCGGGUGAGGACCUCCAAGCCCAGGAAGCCUCAGUUGGCCAAAGUGCUAGAUGCGUGUGGUCUGCUUUCAUCCCCGCUUCCCUCAGAGCUUGCAUUUUCCAAAUUCAAGAGAGGCUCCACCUUCAAGAAGACCGGCCUGUCCCUGUUAUUUAUGUGUCCCCCUACCAUAUCUCCCUUUGUUCUGCAGAGCGGUACGCAUAAAAAGCUUUUGGGGA
Molecule: long non-coding RNA, 4081 nt
Filed under: Homo sapiens (human)
Lineage: Eukaryota; Metazoa; Chordata; Mammalia; Primates; Hominidae
Description: HSALNT0299207
Source: RNAcentral